UACGAAGGGGGCUAGCGUUGCUCGGAAUUACUGGGCGUAAAGGGCGCGUAGGCGGACAGUUCAGUCAGAGGUGAAAGCCCAGGGCUCAACCUUGGAAUUGCCUUUGAUACUGGCUGUCUUGAGUUCGGGAGAGGUGAGUGGAAUGCCGAGUGUAGAGGUGAAAUUCGUAGAUAUUCGGCGGAACACCAGUGGCGAAGGCGACUCACUGGCCCGAUACUGACGCUGAGGCGCGAAAGCGUGGGGAGCAAACAGG
RNAcentral lists this ribosomal RNA (253 nucleotides) under uncultured bacterium. Its description in RNAcentral is "partial 16S ribosomal RNA". It matches the Rfam family "Bacterial small subunit ribosomal RNA", at positions 524 to 776 of the family's 1533-position model. The record is from RNAcentral.